UUUUUUUAAUUGUUAUCCGCAGUCAUGCAAGUAGUAGAUUGAUUGUAUGUAUGUAAGACUAGUCUUUGAUGUUUGAAGAUUUCACAAGAUUUUCUUUUUCUUCUGUGUUUCCAAAAACUUAAAAUGCCACACAACCUACAUGUUCAUUUCCUCUUGUGCUUGUUGCGUUUAUCCAGAGCAGGCAAGUCGCAAGAAGAUACCUAUUUUAGUUGAUACAGAGAAAAAAAGAGAUGGUUUAGAUGAUCUCUUGCCAUUCGCCGACUACGUUGUCUGUCCAGAAAAUUUCCCUCAGGCAAGUUAGUCUCAGUUUCUGUUCUUGUUUUUCCAGUUUUUUUUUUUUUUUUUUGCUUUGAGGCUGAAUAUUCUUAGUCUCUCACGUCUUGCAGACAUGGACAGAAGUGUCUUCAACUCCUGGUGCACUUGUUUCCAUGUUGUUGAGAUUGCCUAAACUGAAAUUUGUGAUCGUGACCUCAGGUGAACAUGGGUGCUUAAUGGUUCAAAGAGCUUCAAAAGGUACAAAACCCAAGACUUUAUCUCUCUCUUUAGGAUUCAAAACUUCUACAUGAUCCUUUCCCCGGUUCAUAAACAUCAUCUGGCUCUGUCGACUUCAG
This 611-nucleotide long non-coding RNA is filed under the name Arabidopsis thaliana (thale cress). RNAcentral describes it as "long non-coding RNA (ATHA_LNC000305)". The record is from RNAcentral. Lineage: Eukaryota; Viridiplantae; Streptophyta; Magnoliopsida; Brassicales; Brassicaceae.